Molecule: ribosomal RNA, 180 nt
Filed under: uncultured Glomeromycotina
Lineage: Eukaryota; Fungi; Glomeromycota
Description: partial small subunit ribosomal RNA
Source: RNAcentral
GGCCUGGCUGGGUGGUCUUGCCGAAAGGUAAGUACUGCUCUGGUCGGGUCUUUCCUUCUGGGGAACCAGCGUGCUCUUAAUUGAGUGCGGUGGGGAUCCAGGACUUUUACUUUGAAAAAAUUAGAGUGUUUAAAACAGGCUUAUGCUUGAAUAGAUUAGCAUGGAAUAACGGAAUAGGAC